GGGCGUUUGGCGCAGUCGGUAGCGCGAGGGUCUCAUAAUCCCAAGGUUGCGAGUUCGAUCCUCGCACUGCCAA
Molecule: transfer RNA, 73 nt
Filed under: Besnoitia besnoiti
Lineage: Eukaryota; Apicomplexa; Conoidasida; Eucoccidiorida; Sarcocystidae
Rfam family: tRNA
About the family: Transfer RNA (tRNA) molecules are approximately 80 nucleotides in length.
Source: Rfam by way of RNAcentral